Long non-coding RNA from Siniperca chuatsi (mandarin fish), 514 nucleotides. RefSeq lists it as uncharacterized. The record is from RefSeq and is a predicted model, not a curated record. The transcript is spliced from 2 exons. NCBI's taxonomy places the organism in Eukaryota, Metazoa, Chordata, Actinopteri, Centrarchiformes, Sinipercidae.
AUUCUUCAAGGGCCAGACAGGCCAGUGUGGCAGAGCAACGGCCGAGCAGUUUGUGGAAAGCGGUGGAGAAAGAGCCGAAGAUGUCAUGUCCACUUAUGUCCAGACGGACCAUGGACUCACUGUGGAGGCUGUUGGAAAGUUUCCGAGCCCCAAACGUGACUGCUUCAUUAAUGCCAACAGUCUACAUGUGAUGCCAUUUACGCAAUCAACCCCCCCCAACAGUCUGUCUGUCUGGAGAAGGAAAGCAGUACCAGAUGUGGAGACUUUUUUUCAGUGCAGUCGGGUAUAAAGACCUUGCUGUUCGGACGGGGUGGCUGUGUUGCACUUCACAGACCUAGACAUCUCUUUAUAGAGAGAUGGAGGAGGAAGGGGCGGAAGAAUAAAUAUACGACCGCCUCCAAACACCUUUUAUGUCUCCUGGAUGUGAUGUGAGCAAAUACUGUUUAUCCCAAAACUGGCUUAACUGAGGUGAAACUGUUGGCACUGCAAUAAACCAGUGUGGGGAGGCUGCUAA